Non-coding RNA from Streptomyces griseus subsp. griseus NBRC 13350, 58 nucleotides. The record is from Rfam. Lineage: Bacteria; Bacillati; Actinomycetota; Actinomycetes; Kitasatosporales; Streptomycetaceae.
GCCGGUCCUCGGUAGUGGCCCCCGGGAACAUGCCCGGGAGCUUCGAUCGAAGACCGGC